RNAcentral lists this ribosomal RNA (270 nucleotides) under uncultured bacterium. Its description in RNAcentral is "partial 16S ribosomal RNA". It matches the Rfam family "Bacterial small subunit ribosomal RNA", at positions 88 to 354 of the family's 1533-position model. The record is from RNAcentral.
CCGGCGACCGGCGCACGGGUGAGUAACACGUAUGCAACCUGGCCGUGACAGAUGGAUAACUGGGAGAAAUCCCGCCUAAUACAACAUAAUGCCGGGAGGGGACAUCCCCUGCCGGCCAAAGGGGGCGACCCCGGUCACGGAUGGGCAUGCGGCGCAUUAGGUAGUUGGUGGGGCAACGGCCCACCAAGCCGACGAUGCGUAGGGGUUCUGAGAGGAAGGUCCCCCACAUUGGAACUGAGACACGGUCCAAACUCCUACGGGAGGCAGCAG